RNAcentral lists this ribosomal RNA (445 nucleotides) under uncultured bacterium. RNAcentral's name for it is "partial 16S ribosomal RNA". It matches the Rfam family "Bacterial small subunit ribosomal RNA", at positions 354 to 796 of the family's 1533-position model. The record is from RNAcentral.
GUGAGGAAUAUUGGUCAAUGGACGCAAGUCUGAACCAGCCAUGCCGCGUGUAGGAUGACGCAUCUAUGGUGUGUAAACUACUUUUGUAUGAGAAGAAACCUUUCUACGUGUAGAGAGCUGACGGUAUCAUAAGAAUAAGGAUCGGCUAACUCCGUGCCAGCAGCCGCGGUAAUACGGAGGAUCCAAGCGUUAUCCGGAAUCAUUGGGUUUAAAGGGUCAGUAGGUGGUUAAAUAAGUCAGUGGUGAAAUUUUGCGGCUCAACCGUAAAAUUGCCAUUGAUACUGUUUGACUUGAAUCAUUGGGAAGUAACUAGAAUAUGUAGUGUAGCGGUGAAAUGCUUAGAUAUUACAUGGAAUACCAAUUGCGAAGGCAGGUUACUAUUGAUGUAUUGACGCUGAUGGACGAAAGCGUGGGGAGCGAACAGGAUUAGAUACCCCGGUAGUCC